This 302-nucleotide RNase P RNA is filed under the name Anaerolineae bacterium. Its description in RNAcentral is "partial RNase P RNA component class A". It matches the Rfam family "Bacterial RNase P class A", at positions 1 to 248 of the family's 367-position model. Rfam says of the family: Ribonuclease P (RNase P) is a ubiquitous endoribonuclease, found in archaea, bacteria and eukarya as well as chloroplasts and mitochondria. The record is from RNAcentral. Lineage: Bacteria; Bacillati; Chloroflexota; Anaerolineae.
CAAGCCGGCCAGGCGGUCGCGCCCUGUGACCCCUGACCCCUUGAGAACGGGGCGCAGGGUGAGGAAAGUCCGGGCUCCGCAGGGCACGGUGCUGGGUAACACCCAGGCGGGGUGACCCGACGGAAAAGGGCCACAGAAACAUACCGCCGCCCCCUCCCCUCACCUCUCCCCCAGUGGGGGAGGGGAAGGGGGUGGGGGAGGUAAGGGUGAAAAGGUGGUGUAAGAGACCACCGGCACUCGUGGUGACACGGGUGGCCAGGCAACCCCCACCGGGAGCAAGGCCAAGCAGGGGCGAGUAGGGG